AUGGAAGCCAUUUUCUUGGCACGACAACUUAUGGAGAGAUAUAGGGAGCAAAAGAAGGACUUGCAUAUGGUGUUCAUUGACUUGGAGAAGGCCUAUGAUAAGAUACCGCAGAAUGGCAUGUGGUGGGCCUUGGAGAAACACAAAGUCCCAGCAAAGUACAUUACCCUCAUCAAGGACAUGUAUGAUAAUGUUUUGACAAGUGUUCGAACAAGUGAUGUCGACACUGACGACUUCCUGAUUAAAGAUAGGACUGCAUCAGGGGGAUAUACACGGAGAUAUCCCAUGGUGUAUGCUCUUUGCGGAUGA
Molecule: ribosomal RNA, 306 nt
Filed under: Triticum aestivum (bread wheat)
Lineage: Eukaryota; Viridiplantae; Streptophyta; Magnoliopsida; Poales; Poaceae
Description: partial small subunit ribosomal RNA
Source: RNAcentral